GAGCAGAUGGGGUUCAGGGUGGGGCCAUCGAGUGAGGAGGGGCUUGGCGGUGCCUGAGCCAGGGUGUUGCCCAGGCAGCUGGGCACAUGGGCCUGGUGCUGGAGUGGGCCAAACUGCCCCAGCAGGCCCCAGGGAAGGACGGCAGGCUGGGAUGCCGUCCCCACGGACUCCCUCUCCUCUCUUAGCCCUGGCACUAAGUGCGUUCCUCUGGCAAAGAAGAAAAUAAUUUCUGUCCCUCGCCAUCUGCUGCAUGGGAAGAUGGGAAUGGAGUGAGCACGGUAUGAGGGGAUCAGGAACGUCAAGGGGCUGUGUCCAGCUGCCCAAACCAUCCAAGAGGCCGGCACCGUGCUGAGGACAGUGGCGGGGACAGGAGCCAAGGUUCAUCAUCGUACCCCAAGGCCUGGGCAAGACAGAUGCUGCGUCCUGCAAUGGCCCCACCAUGGACCCUCGUCAUCCAACCGAAGUCGCCCCCUUGCCUGGCUUUAUCUUCACUAUAUUGUGAGGCUGCUUCAUUGAAUCUUAUCCCAGACUUUAACUUUUCCAUGACUGCCGUGAUUUUGCCAUGUUGUUCACACAGAGUGUGUCUGACCUUAGCUGCAUUGCCACCGCCUUUGGGACCCUGAGCCUUCUUGCCAGCACUGUCACUCCCAGAGGUUGCUUCCACUUUCCCCUUUUCCAGAACCACUUGUUCCUUUGGGUGGCAUCCUGGAAACUUGCUGUUGAAGUCUCAACUGCCUCAGUGGUUCUUCAAGGGAGGUCCUCAGGCCACCACCUGAGAAAUUGUUAGAAAUGCAAGUUUCUGGGCUGCAUCCCAGACCUGCUGAAUCAGAAAUUUGGGGAGGUGAGGCCCAGAAUCUGUGUUUUAACAAGCCCCCCUCAAAAUUCGGAUGCCCUAUAAGGGUUUGAAAACCACUGGGGGUGGGUGGGGGAGUGGGCAGAGGCCUGUUCUGCUGCACACCAUGCUGGGUCCAGAGUGAACAGAUGGAGGGGAGAAGCCCCAUCAGCUGCCCCUGGGGACAGCCUUUUCAGAGGGAAGGUAGAACUGUGCACCCAAAAACACAGGGGAGGCAAUGCCUAGAACCAAGUGAGCAUCAGAGACAGAAAGUCCUGUGCGGGAGAGCUGGGUGGAACCUGGUGGGUGGGUAGCGUGGGGCAGAAUUGGGAGAGAGACACAGUGACCGGGUGUCCCAGUUCCCAGGGUUGCUAACUGCUCACGUGCCAGCUUGAAAAUGAUUAGUUUCUAGGGAGGGGUCUACACCCAAUUUGCUGGCUCACUCUCCAUCACUGUCCUCCACAUCCCCCAGUCCCUGGACAUACAGGGUCAGCCCCACCGACUUAUUAUGGGGAUUCCUGGAGAGGCAGCCUGUUUUGUGGGGGCCUGUCAAGGCACUGCCAGUCCCGGGCUCAGGGUGUGGAGGCUCAGCGGCAGCACAGAAAAAGGGAACCUGGGGCGGGAGUGGGGGUGGUCUUUGGGCCUUCCUCCUUCAUUCUAGCACUGGGCUGAUGGGAGAAGCCAGAUGAGCCAGAAGAGAAUUCAGGGUGUGGCAAUGCUGAGCUCAAGGAGCAAGUAGUUCAAGAGAGAAGUGAAGCAACAGGAGCACGGACUUUGGCACCAGAGAGCUGGGUGCAGCUCUCAGCUCUGCGUCAUCCUUGCUGUGGGACCCUGGGUUAUUGCUGAGCCACUGUGAGUCUGUUUCCUCGUGGGUAUAGUAGGGUAAGUAAUAGUGCCUACCUCAGAACAUUAGUGUGAGGCCUCGAGGGGUAUAUACUAAGAACCAACAUUUGUUCAGCAUUUGCCUUGUGCCAGGCCUUUGCAAUGCCCUUUAUACACAGCACCUCAUAGGAACCUCACAGCAACCCCCCGGGUGGGCACCAUUAUUAUCCCCAUUUUACAGAUGAGGAAGUGGAGGCUCAGAGGGAUACAUUGCUAAGUUUCACUAGUGAGUGUUCCUGGCAAGUGGCAGAGCCGUCUACUUCCAAAGUCAUGUGUUGACUCACCUCACUAUGCUGUCUCUAAUGCCACAAACCUUCAUGUGGGGCUGAUUUGUGGUGAAAAAUUGAGGGUGACAGCUUUUGGUUUCUUUGUUCCUUCUGCUCUAGUCCCCUCAGCCCCCAGCCCUGCCCCCUCUCAGAACUCAGCCACAGAAAGCUGGCCCUGGAACCACGA
Molecule: long non-coding RNA, 2167 nt
Filed under: Homo sapiens (human)
Lineage: Eukaryota; Metazoa; Chordata; Mammalia; Primates; Hominidae
Description: HSALNT0019960
Source: RNAcentral